GGGGCCGUGCCUGAAUAAAAGGACUACUUUGAUAGAGUAGCUCAUGGGGGUUAAAAACCCCCCAGCCCUC
This 70-nucleotide transfer RNA is filed under the name Callopanchax monroviae. RNAcentral's name for it is "tRNA-Ile". Lineage: Eukaryota; Metazoa; Chordata; Actinopteri; Cyprinodontiformes; Nothobranchiidae. The record is from RNAcentral.